GCCGGCGUAGCUCAGUGGUAGAGCGGAGUCUUCAUAAGGCUAUGGUCAGAGGUCCGAUCCCUCUCGCCGGCA
RNAcentral lists this transfer RNA (72 nucleotides) under Candidatus Wildermuthbacteria bacterium RIFCSPLOWO2_01_FULL_47_18. Its description in RNAcentral is "tRNA-Met". It matches the Rfam family "tRNA". Rfam says of the family: Transfer RNA (tRNA) molecules are approximately 80 nucleotides in length. The record is from RNAcentral. Lineage: Bacteria; Candidatus Wildermuthiibacteriota. RNAcentral also lists the same sequence under 2 other names.